UGUGGGCCAGCAGGGAUACCCAUAGAUGAUUUGUGUUUUAGCUUAUGUCCCCCCAAUGGUUGUUAGUUAUGGUAGUUACUGUAUGGUAUUAUUGCAUGUGAUUGUAUUUAUUUUUCUUAUGUUUAGAUAAUUAUUUAUGCUAUUUCUGCGCAAGUUACUAAUGCUCUAUUAUUUUUGUUUUACAGCUGUUUUUCCUUUUAUCCUAUGCGCCGAGGGUCGAUUGGAAACAGCCUCUCUGCCAUUUCAAGUAUACUGGGUUGUUGUUGUUGUUGAUACACAUCUUUAACAACUGCUGCUUACUUUUCUGACUUUAGUGCCAUGCACGGACAAAUGCUGGAAAAUUUAUUUAAAUUAUGAUUGCUCCAUUCCUUUAGCAGUGUUUGAUUCAAGAUGUCGUUAAAAAAUAAAGAAAGAUUUUUUAAAUUUAUAGUAUUAAACAUAUUAUAAUACUUGUGUGGCUAUAUGAUAUUAUCUUUAAUGAUAAAAUGAGAAUAAACGUUAAGUUAUAUAUAUAUAUGUGCCAUGCACG
This 529-nucleotide long non-coding RNA is filed under the name Nicotiana benthamiana. RNAcentral's name for it is "long non-coding RNA (NBEN_LNC005538)". The record is from RNAcentral. Lineage: Eukaryota; Viridiplantae; Streptophyta; Magnoliopsida; Solanales; Solanaceae.